GUGGAUCCUGAAAGACAUAGGAAACCAAGAGGAAGGAGUAAAAUGUUUCUCCUAUACCAGUCAAUCAACAGAAGGAGUCAAACUUCAAUGUCUUGGUGUGCAGGUCAAGGCUCUAACCACCAGGCUCUCCAGAAUGGGAGAGAUGUUGGACUCAAUUUCCUUUCCUUUGAAAUGAUUUCAACCAAAUACAUUGCUCGUAAAGAGAAAUCACAAUACAAGUCUGCAAGAAAACAUCUUCUAAACACCUCCAGACACAACCUCAGCAGGGCUGACGUCUUCUCAGAACAGCUUCUCCUGCUCCUCAUUCCAGAUCAAUCUCUUCCUUUUCCUGUGGGUCACCACACUCACCGACACACCUGAGGAAUUCAAAGGUGGGAAGAUGGGCCCUGAGGAACAGAGGUAGCUGAGGUCAAGAGCUCAUAGCAGUCUAGAGCAGUUCAGCCAUCAGUAAAAUAAAGCACUCCUUACCACUGAAUCUGAAAGUCCUCCCG
Long non-coding RNA from Cygnus olor (mute swan), 491 nucleotides. RefSeq lists it as uncharacterized. The record is from RefSeq and is a predicted model, not a curated record. The transcript is spliced from 3 exons. Lineage: Eukaryota; Metazoa; Chordata; Aves; Anseriformes; Anatidae.